RNAcentral lists this long non-coding RNA (1251 nucleotides) under Homo sapiens (human). Its description in RNAcentral is "HSALNT0294336". Lineage: Eukaryota; Metazoa; Chordata; Mammalia; Primates; Hominidae. The record is from RNAcentral.
CUGUCUCUCUUGAAUCACAGUAGGAAAACACAAGCGUGAAGCCUCCAUUUGGGAAGCCUGCAGAAGCCCCAAUCCAAUCACAGCACUGCCAGAGGAUCUUAGAAGUUGAAUAUCAAUUUAAUAACACAUCCUGUUUGAGAUUGGGUUCUAACUAUAUUGCCCAAGCUAGAUUCAAACUCUUGGGCUCAAGUGAUCCUCCUGCCUAAGACUCCUUAGUAGCUUGGAACUUCAGAACCAUCUGUCAAUGGCUACUUCAUACUUUAGAUGCUCCAAGAGGAAAAAGUCAUUUCAGAAUUGUAUCCAUAACCCAGUUUCAUUGAAGAUGGAGUCUUCCUUCAGAUUUUCUACAUAGACAAUUAUACCUCUGUGAACAAAGACAGUUUAUUUCUUCCUUCCCACACCCUGCCACACUUCCUCCUGCUCCAGCAAUGUAAAACGUGCCUGCUUCCCCUUCACCUUCCACGUGACUGCAAGUUACCUGAUGCCUCUUUCGCCAGCUUUCUGUACAGCCUGCAGAACCAUGAGGAAUCACACCCCUUUUCUUUACAAAUUACCCAGUCUCAGACAUUUCUUUAUAGCAAUGCAAGAAUGGACUAAUACAGUAUCUGUGUAAAAUGGAGAUGUUUCCUAAGAAAGAAUAAACUCCUUUUGGUAUAAGUUAUGUGACUACAAGCAUACUUGGAUAUCUUAAUAUUUAAUCUGGGCCAGACAUACCUUGAUGUGGCAAGAAAGUAGCUGGAGAACUGUGUUGGUAGUCCUGGGGCUCUUCCUGCUUCUAUUGUUACCCAAACUACUUUUAUUCUUUAAAUUAUUAGUAAAUCUUGAUUUGUAGUAAUAUCUUUUAUUUGUGUGAAUUUGAUUUGUCAUUCUAAUCCUUUAUUGUAUUUCAAGAUUCUGGUAGAAUCAAGAUAUUAGCAGUGGCAAGGUAAAGUAAUAAUUUGUACUAGACUGAAAUAAGAAUGCAUUCUACAAAAUGAAAUUCUAGUAAUUCUUGAUUGCUUUUAGACAAUGUUUAUUUAACAACCAUAGAAAGUUCAGAUAAUAUAUCUUCCAAAAAAAAAGGGUUCACUCUUUAUUUUGUUAGGCAUAAAAGGGUAAGGUACUAAUUGCAUCAAUCCAUGUCAUGGGUACAUUGGUCAAAAAUGAGCUAUUAUAUGCUACUUGGUAGCAUAAGCCAAUUAAUUCUUUUUUUCUGCUGUACCAAAUUUACUGCCAGAUAUUUUCAAUGAAGUUUUUUUGUUGUUAAAUUUA